Non-coding RNA from Podarcis lilfordi (Lilford's wall lizard), 72 nucleotides. NCBI's taxonomy places the organism in Eukaryota, Metazoa, Chordata, Lepidosauria, Squamata, Lacertidae. The record is from the annotation of a GenBank genome assembly.
GGUAUCAUAGCUCAGCCGGCAGAGCAUGGGCUUUGCAUCCCGAAGGUCCAGGUUCAAUCCCUGGCAUCUUUG